This 315-nucleotide small RNA is filed under the name Histoplasma capsulatum var. duboisii H88. RNAcentral's name for it is "Histoplasma capsulatum H88 hypothetical RNA". The record is from RNAcentral. Lineage: Eukaryota; Fungi; Ascomycota; Eurotiomycetes; Onygenales; Ajellomycetaceae.
UCAAUGGGCAUUGGAAUUAUUAAUUGGCACUCGACAGUCACACCACCUCAUACUGGAUUUCCUCCAUUCGGGGCGAGGAAUUUAUCGCCAUUCGAGAGAGGCGGAAGAUCUUCUAUCUGAGCUCCGCUUCCCCGGCUUUCAUGUCUUCGUCCUGGGCAGGAUCCACACUUAACAUUAUGAAAUUUCAAUAAUAUGGCAGGAUAGAAGAAUUCUAAGUAGGCGAAGUCUCGCGGCACGGAGACAUCAAAAACCCUAUGAGUACUGGUUGCUGUGCAUGGGAAGAUGGCACGAGGUCAACAUCGGCCGGCAAGUUGA